RNAcentral lists this ribosomal RNA (253 nucleotides) under uncultured bacterium. RNAcentral's name for it is "partial 16S ribosomal RNA". It matches the Rfam family "Bacterial small subunit ribosomal RNA", at positions 524 to 776 of the family's 1533-position model. The record is from RNAcentral.
UACAGAGGAGCCAAGCGUUGUCCGGAUUGACUGGGCGUAAAGCGCACGCAGGCGGAUGCGCGCGUGGGGUGUGAAAUCUGGCCGCUUAACGGCCAGGCGCCAUCCCAUACGGCGCGUCUGGAGUGAUGCAGAGGUCGAUGGAAUUGCCGGUGUAGUGGUGAAAUGCGUAGAGAUGCGGAGGAACACCGAUGGCGAAGGCAGCCCCCUGGGCUAAGACUGACGCUGAGGCACGAAAGCGUGGGGAGCAAACAGG